This 231-nucleotide small RNA is filed under the name Saimiri boliviensis boliviensis (Bolivian squirrel monkey). Its description in RNAcentral is "7SK RNA (ENSSBOG00000001245.1)". It matches the Rfam family "7SK RNA", at positions 79 to 331 of the family's 331-position model. From Rfam's summary of the family: 7SK was discovered as an abundant small nuclear RNA in the mid-70s but a possible function has only recently been suggested. Lineage: Eukaryota; Metazoa; Chordata; Mammalia; Primates; Cebidae. The record is from RNAcentral.
GCAGGUGCUACCUUCCUCCCCCACUGCUCCAUGUAUGUCCCUCCCAAGCUGUGUGCUCAGUGGAGGAGGAUGACUUUCUUCAAUGGAGGAAGAUCAUUCUUUUUUCAAGGGUAUUAAAGUAGCUGUGCUCCCUCGAUAGAACCUCCCAACAAGCCACAUUUUUUUUUGUCUCCCACCCCAUAAUCUCCCCAGAUGCACAGAGACACUUUAAGUUUCAAUAUGUUUUACUCU